GCGUCUGAUAUGACAGCCGUGACAGAGCAAGUGGCCCUCUAAUGGGUAACAACGAUGGCCUUCCUCAUCAUUGAGCUGCAAGCCACAAUCCUAGAAGAAAAACAUACAUCCCAGUUUUAUGAGUGAUUCAGGAGCCACUGUGCAGAGCCCUACCUGCCCAGGCAUGCAGGAGUCAGCAAAUACACCCUGGGUUGCAAGUCAUGCACCUACUCAGAGGGAGGAUGUUCAGUGUAAGCAAAGCCUUGUCCAGUGCCUCUGCCCAGCUCCUCUGCGACACUCACCUCACAGUGAUAGCACUCCACGUGGUAGUCUUUGUCCAUUGACACUACUCGGAUGGUUUCUUCAGAUCCCUGUUGGAGAAGCACAGAAAAGGUAAGAGUGGGCUUUUAAGUGGUGCUUUCUCAAUCUUCUUUCAGUGCCCAACCUAUAACUUUGGAAAGGUGCUUCUGUGCGGGAUAGCUCUUCUUUUUUUGUAGAACAGAGCUCUGUAACUGCUGAGGGUCUUGCCCCUCCAUGCACUGUGCUGCAGUACCAGUUUUCCUGUUUAGCAGUCCUGUGGGUGUCUGAAAUAGGUUAUAAGGUAAUUCGGGAAGUGUAGCUAAAAUUUCAUGCUCAAAAUACAGUUUUCUCUUGAAAUAAAAUCAUUUUCCAAGGGCACCUAAGAAUUUGAACAAAUUAUAAACCAAACACUAUGACAUAAUGACUAGGUCACUAUUCCUAGUAGACAUUCUGGCCUGACUUUUCUAGGACUCGUUCCCCUCAAAUUAGCUGGUGCACAGCAAUUCUGCACAUGCACAUGGCAGUGUAUGUACCCUACGGUCAUUUACAUACUUAUCCAGCAGGUAAUUAUGCACACAGGCCAAAGCCUCAGUGUGACGGUAGAUGCAGUGGAGUUGUGCAAUACCUGCAGAGUCCCAGGCCCUGCCAAGCUGCCCAUACCCUUCCUGUAACCUCACAGCCUUUCCCUGAGCCACUUCCAUGCCUCUGAAGAUAGAGCUCAUUAAAUUUGCUGACCCACAUUGUUUCCAGUUCCAGGUGUGGUUACAGCAUCAGAUAUGACGUAGACUAUGUCUGAGAGAAGCCACGGGCAGGUUAGCACCUGCACUGCUAGACUUGAACUAACCUAUGAAACCUCUGUGGAAAAGAACACGGAGUCUAUCCUGCUUAACCAUCAGAUGAGUCAGCAGUAGGACCGCAUUUUUACCUUCUUUUAAUUAUUAUUAAUUUUUUUUAUCAUUUUGUAAGACAUGAAACUAGAAAAGCUCUAUGGCAACUUCAUUCCUUAUACCACCAUCAGCAGGGCAUGAGAUUCUGGCUCAACUUUCAUAAGGUUUUUAGCAAAUAAUGACAAAUGUAGGAUAAUGUGGAAUGGUAAAGGUGGGCAUACUGAGAGGCUCCAGCCACAGGCUUUACUAGGUCACAGCAGCUUACAGGAGGUGCGCUCUGGCUAUAUGCACCUGAUGAGAGGACAAACAAGGUGCUGAAGGUGUUUCUUGUGAUCAGGCUGGCCAGUGACACGAGCAGAGGGAACUCAGAGAGUCCUGCAGCUGCUGGAGUUUAAUGGAACAUCACUGUGGACAGGCAGAAAAGGAUCAUCUUUUCCAGAAUCUUACUUACUGUGCUAACUAUACCAUCACAGUGGUCUGAGGUUGCAAGCAGCAGUCAUUCAUCUGGCUUUCCUUUUAGGCAACUUUUAUACUUCCUUUUCCACCCUUUAACCACUUUAUUUAUAGUGACCUUCCAAGAUGACAGGCUGUGUGGCUGUUUGAGGGUCAGGAUAACCCCUCAGCUGUCUUUUCCAGCUUGGGCAUCAUAACAGAUGCACAUCAGAAAUGCAAACAUAGCAGACAAGGAAAACUGUUACUUGAGCUAACGGGAAAUUCUAAAAAUAAACAGGGCUUUGCUUCUUGGAUUGUUCUUGGAGCCCCAGUUAGGGCUUUCAAUUAAACAAGAUUCAUAACAGCAUAAUUAAGACCUGGAAAGCACCCUAAUGAUACAAAGUAAUAUGCUACGUAAGCACUAUGACUAUUACAACCUCUGGGAAUGUUUAGGAGUGACAUUACUGCUGAACUGUAUUUAAUUUAAUAUCUCACAUACAUUCUGCAAGAAGGAGGAAAAGUUCUUGGAAAGUGUUCUUAUGCCAACAGCUGUUUUCUGUAAAGAAUCUGUGCAUAUUAACACGUACCUGUGCUGGAAGAAUCGGCUGGUUACAGGAAGCGCAUUUUGGUGCAAAAACCCUAGGGUGCAAGAAGAAAUUGUUCAAAUCACAUUUAAAGUUUCUUCAAAAAGUAGAACCAGGAAAACUAUUCUAACCAUGCCUUCCUUUUAGAAAAAUGUAAACCUGGGUUUGAAGGCAUCUCUACGUUUUUUUUAACAAUAUUCAGGGAAAAGGAGACUUAGAAAGGCGUAUCUACCCCAGCUUUAUUGCUUAGGUCUUCUUGACCUUCAAAUCUUAUCAAUCCAGCCCUCUUCCUAUACAUGUCCUUUCUCUCAUCUUUCUUUAUUCAUAAGGCCAUUCAAAUUCUGCAUAGUAGCUCCUGACCUGGGGCCUGUCACCAGCUCACAUGCUAAAUGGGAGAGGGACCAAUCUCAGCUGUGAUCCAUGUAAACUAAAUAGAUCAACUGGUUUUACCCACAGCUGCAUUUUGUGACAUCGGGCCAACAUCACUCCAUUCUCACAAUACAGUCAGACCAAUACAAUUGAAUUUAAAGUGAUUUCCUUUUGCUCCAUGAGCUGAGUUACUGGUUGGCUGGAGCAAAGAGAGCAUUUACAUUGCCUUUGAGCAUGAGUAGGAAAGAGUCCAAAAGCAAUCACUUAAACAAUGAAACUUCAUCAGGUAAAGGUAAGAUCAUUCUAACACUGGCUGCUAAUUCUAUGUCUGCUGUCCCGUCUAACUUGAUGUAACACAUAUUCCCAAGUAUCACUCACUAGCAUGUGGACACUAGCAGAACCUACCACCACCUGCAGAAUUAGCUAUGUCUAAUUAGUAAUAGAAGUCCUGAAACAAGUAGAGAAGCAGCCAGCAGAGAAAUACGUCCUCUGACACAACCUCAUUUUCAACCUCACUGGGGCCUUAAAUUCCCCACAGAACCCACCAAGUGAGUUCUAGGAUAACUUUCAAACACUUUACAAAUGCAACGUAUGAGAAGAGCACUGAGGGACAGAUGAACAAAUAGGAAUAACUCUUCAUCUACUGCAAGGCUCACAGCUAUACCAGUAAGUUAACCAGUAUAAAUCUUCCAAGCAAUGGAUUUGUUUACUUACGUAUGGUAGUCUUUGACACAGUAAAUAUUGUUCUCCACAUCUACAGUGAAGGGGACUCCAUCCAAACACUCGUUACAUACCACGCAGCGGAAGCAGCCAGGGUGGUAUGACUUUCCAAGGGCCUGUAAGAUCUCAAGAGGCAAAGAGCAAAGUAAAUGGGUGCACAAUUACACAAAAUCCUUCCUCAUAUACUGCUCUGUCUGAGUUUUAAAAUGACAGCGAGAAGCACAUGCUUUGGGAUGACAUUACCAAUCUGGAGCUCCAUCAGCAAGGGGCCUUUUAAAACAAUAAAGUUCCUGAUUUCUGUGGGCUUCUAUCAGGCUCCCAGUAAUGACAGAGAUCUGUGACAAUCCCAUCAGUAUUAGCUCUGCACAGCCAAUACUGCCCAACAGAAAUUAAGCACAGCUUCAAAGACUACUUGGAAAAUCUGCUGCAGUCAAAGUGAGUGGGAUACAGAGUUAAUUCACAAAACACAUCAGACUGUGACAGGAGCCUAAAUUAGCCAUUACUCGCACCUACAAAGUAAAAUAGUAAGACAGACAAAUAAAUAGGUGUCCCUUUGCUAACACUCCCAUUCCACCACACUUACUGACCAGUUCUCAGUUACCCAUCAGUUUUUGUUAAAAUCUGUAUCAAUGGGUAAUCAAAACUGCCAUGCUGACCUUCUCUACUGCCUAUCUCCUAUGGAGAUAUUCAAGACCUGUCCGGAUAUCUACCUUAGUGGCCUAUUGCAGGAUACCUGCGUUAGCAGGAGCGUUGGACUCUAUGAUCUCUUGAGGUCCCUUCUAACACCUGUGAUUCUGCGAUUUUAAAGGCUUCACAGGAAGCCUUUAUUAUGCAGUCUUCUCAAUACUGUUACAGAAUCCAUUCCACUUGGCAGAGGUGGCAUGGCACAGGGCCAUCAAAGAUAGCACACCAAGUUCAUGGACUAGGUUCUGGGAAGGGCUAGACAAAGUUCCAUCUUCAGGCAACUCUCAAGAGGUUACAGAACACAUUUCAGGUGUAACUACCACCUCUGGGAGGUAAUUUCAAAAAAGUUUCUGCUAGCAGCAGCACGCAGCUACUAAUAGACUGCACAGGGAGAAUCUCCACUGACAAAGCUCAUGUGGCCUUGCAGCUCUUUCUACAGGUAAAGUUCAACAGGAACUAAGACAUGGAGCAUAGCUCUCCGUUCAGUGAAUGUUAUCAGACACUUUGAUUUGCAAGACUGUUCCUACCCAGAUGCAACUUGUCUUUAGGCAUGCACUGUUAUCCAAACAGCUACAUAACAAGCACUAUUAGCCUGGUGUGGUUGUGCGGCCACCCUUUGCACAGAACAACUGCACUUUCAGUCCUUGAACAGUUUCAGGCUGCACCCAAGCCUGUGGGGCUGCAGCACUGUUGCUCAGUUGCACACCAGUAACAUGACUGUGCAGACAUGUUUGCUGUCUGCGCAAUCCUAAGGAGGAACACAAAGCAAUUAGCCAAUUAAGACUGCUUAAUUCCUGGAGCUCCCAAAGCAGCUUCAUUUUUUUGGAGUGUACUUGCUGAUGGGAGAAAGGCAGACCUGCCAAGCUUCCAACCACUGAGCUCCACCAACAAGAUAUUACAGACUCUUGCCUGGCAUCCUGUAAUUAAAGGCCAGUUCAAAGCACGCAGGUUGUGAUACCCCUCCCCCUCCCAGCAUGAAACAACUCUAGAAAUUUGCUCUUGGGCUAAAACGAACAAUAUCCUUGUCCAACCAGUGGUGCCAGGAUAUGCGCCAGAAUUCUCAUUAGUGAAGUCUCUGUUCCAGCUCCUACUGCACCUCUGUGUUUGCAGUGUAAUCACUACUUCUAUUACGUUCACAAAUAAACGUUCGUAUACAUUUUAAAGCAAGAGGAAAACACUGACAUACAUGUGAUCUGCACUUCUUUGGUGUGCAAACCACUUUGCUUGGAAAUUUAUUCUUAGAAAGAACAGAUGAAAUUUAUCCUGCUUUCACCUGGAGGAGGAUGCCAGCAGUAUCUGGCCCAAACCACAGCUUUUUGUUUUCUUAUAAAAGUAACUGACCACUGUCUCCCUGCAAAUCACAGUAGCAAAUAACGGAUUUUAACAGGCAUAGAGCAAGUGGCAGAAAGUAAAUAAAGCAAGAAGCAAGUCACGGAGCUGGCAACAAACUCAAGACUAUUGCUAGUGUUCCUCUCUCUUUCCUUGCCCAGACCUCAACUGCACUGAAAGAGCUCUUGUCUUCCAGAGCACAACUUGUUUUUCUUUACCAUGCUCAUACAAAGCUGUGACCUAUAUUCUCCCUUUAGUAUUAAAAUUCAAUUUUUCUUAUUUCUUUUUUUUAACUGGCAUGUGGAAGAAAAAUAGCAUCCCAUGAUCUCAGGUACAAGAGAAGCCCAACUUCACGUACUUCAGAGCAAUUAAGCAUGAAUAUACUUUAGGUUACAAUACUGCCUCAAUUUGAAAACCUACCUUUACAAUAGUGGAGACACAAUGAUAUUCUGACUAGGGAAUAAGCACUAUGUCUAACUAUCCAAAAUACAUCAAAAAAGAUAUCCCACAGUUAGCUUAGGUGUCUUACCAUUUCCAUUAUGAGGUGUCCACAAACAAAGCACUUAUCUGCUGUUUGCUGGAAACCCGAAUACUGUUGAAAUAACAGAAAGAAUAGGGUUAUUAGUAGUCACUAUUUUAGCUGCAGAAGUACAUGAACAUCAUGCUGUUUCCCAUCCUGUGCUGUAUACGACAGCAAACAAUACAAUAGACUUGCUGCCAUGUUUUCCUUUUUGUUAGUGUGAGGGGAUUACACGUUAUUUCAGAUCAAGAGGUUGGAGGCAAAAUUAUUAUUGUUAUGCAACAAAGUGAUUAUGAAGAAAAGGGUCUUGCAAACACUUUGAUGGGCCUGAAAAGUCAGCAAACGAUGCUGUGGCAGUUGUCACAGCUCCACACUAAGGAACAUAGCUUAUGCAAUCCUAAACUUUGAAACUUCUGCAAAAGAGACUGGAGUGUUGAGGAGUGCAUACAGACACGGCUAUUUCUGCAAGACAUUGUUCUGAAUUGUGCAGUGAAACUGGUGUGCAAGUCUGGACAAAACAGUUGAGUUCACCUCCCCACUUUCAAGUAGCAGCUUUUGUAUCAAAAUGCUUGCUUUUUUCUUCUUCUAACUGAGGUAGAAAAAGGGCCUCGCUGCUUGGGAUGCUUCUUGGCUGCACUGUACCUCAGUAACCAUCUGGCUAGACUAUUUCCUAAGGUUGCGAACUCAAGAGUUACUGGAAACAGGUGGGUAGGUCCUGGCAGCACAGACAGUAGAGGAUUAACAAUAAUUCAAACCCAGAUAAUUCUAAAAUCCUGCUGGAAUGAAUUUACCGGUACCAUCUGGCUGUCGUUUGAUAAGGAAUGCAAAGGAGCAUUUACCCAACUAUUGAUUAAGAAAAAACGUUAUUUCCCAGGAAGAGAAUGGCUUAGUGGUCACAUUAAUGUCAUUUAGUGCUAACUAGGUUGUCAUAAAUUACACUGUUUGUCAGAAAGAAAGGUUUUGCUGACACAAAAUCACUCUUUACAUGACUUACCCUAUUAUAUUAAAACCCUGAUUUGUUUUUAACAGGAGAAUUGUUAUUUGUCACAUUCAGAACUACAUUACUCUAUUAAGAAGAUUUUGCAAAAUGGAAGUGAGUCUAAUAGCAGUGCUAAAAUAUUUCACAGGUGUGGGAAACGGUCCCUUUACAACUACGCUAUUUUUUCUUUCUGAUCAAAGCACUGAUCUCAGACAAAUCAGAAACCUGAUUUACUGACAGCUGGUAAAUUAGGCUUUGCUUGUGCUUUACCUCUCUUUGGACUGGAAAACAAUAAUAGGCAGGGAAACCAGCAGCACCAUUUUUCCAUAUGAUGGCAGUGCCGUUUAGAGGUAAACAAUAUAUCAUCAUCUCUAAAUUUUUUCUAUCUCACCUAUCAGUCAACUUCAGCUCUGCGGUGUUUGUUCUUAACUUUAAGAAUUCAGAUAUGGCUGUUGUGCUACGUUUACCAUUCUAGAAGCAGAGCUUACAAAGUCUUAAAAUACUAAUUAAAAUUAUUAGCCUCUGUCUUUGAAACAGUUGGUUACUAUUAAGCUUCACAAGCCUUGCGUGUACAAGGCAGAAACUGUGACUUGCUCCAGACAGCAGAUGAGAGAAUGGCUUCAUUAUCAUUAUUCAUUACUGACGUAGCUGGAGGUGAGAAAAGAAAUUUUGGGCAUACCAGCUCUUCCUCAUAAUCUAGAGACAUGAAAAGCAGAUUGAGGUGAGACAAUGAAGUAAUUAAUGGGUUGAUAGGCAAGAUCCUAGCUGAGAAAGCCAUAUCCUAGCUAUGCUUCUUACACAAAGCAGUUUAUAGAUACAGUUUCAUUCUAGAUGUAGACAGAAAGAGGCUUACUUUAUAAAGUUUUCAAAUGUGUUUUUUUUUCCUCUGAAGAUGACAAAUACAGACCAGCCUCAAAACAGACAAAUAUGCUCAAAAGGCUACAGACACUACGAACCCAGGACAAAAAGUGUAUUUUUGAACUUUCCCAAAUAUUCAUUUUAGAUGCUCAUUAAGAAUAUACAAAAAUAUUCAAAGAGUUUGUUAUAAAAUAAUUGCUCUGAAAUUCAAAGCUCAAAAUUAAGCCUUAUCCUUAACUGUCAUCUGUGGAUUAGAAGAAAGAUGCUAGUUACCAAAAUGCAAAGAAAACAAGUAAAUGCUAAAGGGCUGGUAACAUAUUUUUCCUGGUUCCUUGGUUUGGCCGCAGAUGUCUUCUCCCAUAUUUACCUCGUCCUUGAUUUCUCUCUCAGAAUAACAAAAUCUCAGUUUAUGUGCAAGAAUCAAGACCUUCAUAGUCCAACUCCCCAAUCAUAUUUAUACUAAAAUAAGACUCUAGAAAACCUCGGGACAUGAUUAACAUAUGCCAGAACAGAAGAGUAAAAAUAAAGUAGAAGACUUAGCUGGCUGAACUUUUCUUUUGUUCUCUGUCCACUACACCUUGAUUAUCAAACAGGCAAAAAAUACCUAACCAUUCUAAGUGUCUUUGUGUCAACGAAAAGAAGAACAAGUCCCCUUCUGUCUCAAAUACUUAGGACUGAUAGUGUCCUUCUGGGAAAAUUCUAGGGUUUAUGAACCAUUCUGUCUAAUGUGCAAAAAUUUAACAAUGAAUUUUGAACGUAUAAUGGACAAUUAUGCAUGGAGUUUAAUCCUACCAAGUGUUGUAGGAAAACAUUUCUCCUGUCUGCCUUGAAUCCUUCAACCAAUGUUGGUUGUGUAGCCAGGGCCAUUUAAAGUUCAAUAUUCUCAUCAGGAUUUUCAGAAGCAAAAACAAACAAAACAAAGCAUGCCCGACAGGGGCUUCAGGACCCCAAGUUUCUACCUUAGGCAACGUCAGAUCUUUGAAAGGACAUGUCACUGCUUCUCCUUCACAUGCCUAACUGUGCCCAAGGAGAGACUGAUGCACUUCCUUUCUGUUACGUACUCAAUAAAACAAAACCCUCCUCCUGGAAACAGACCCUGGAAUCUCAUUCAGACCCAUUUUCUUCUUUGAUGGGGAUGUUCAAAACCUGCUAAAGGUUUGUGCAAACAGAUCGAGUGGGUUACAUUUCAGUAGGUACAGCAGUUACUGCCAAUGGUAUGAGGCUAUAAAAACUGCUACAGCACUGCGAAGUCACUGAAUGUGACUGUUAAGCCUAGAAGUGAGAUUCUUACCCUUUUAUGCUUCAAGGGCUUUUGAGAGGGAUGAUCAGGAGCUUUUGCCAAAAUGCUGUAGGCAUUUAAUUCUGAAAACUAAUUUCUGAAUUGGGUGCUAUGCUAAUAAUGUAUUCCAACCCCAGGCUGCCUGUAAUCCCUCACAGACUCUCUUCUCCUUGGUUUCCCAUUAGCAGAGCAUCUGUCUUCUCACUGCUCUAUUGUUUGCGCUCUGCAUGGGACCCUCAGUACAUGGGACACAACAAUGCAAGAAAUUCAUGGGGUCACAUUAAAAGAGGGGGAGAAUAUCAAAUUUGGUUUCAUGCAGAUGGUUGGGUUUUUUUGUUUGGUUUUUUGGCUUUUUUUGCACACACAUUUAAAUGCAGCGAUUAAACUGAACUGAACAAAAUGGAGCCUUCACAGACUCAAAGAUACUGGAGCCUCCGAGCAGGUGGCAGAGAUUAAUCUAAAGCAAAACAGUCCAGAACUUUACCCUUCAUCUUGCCGGAAAACCUUUCAUAUACCCCUAUUGCUGCGCCCUGUCUUGCUGCCAGUAAGGAAACACUACCACAGCAGCAUAUCUUCAUGUUUCUGCGUUUCCACUUAGUUGCAGCUGAAGGACGUGGAUUGGGCAAGGUGGGACUUUAUGCUCAGCAGAGUUUGUUGGACUGUGAAAAACAUUGCCAAAACCCAGGAAUUCCACUGGUAACUAACACUGCCUUUCAAUGCAUGUGACUUGGAUUUGUCCACUUCAGAUUAACAGUAUCAGCGUUACGGAACUUGAAGGUCCCUCCUGCCCCAACCUACAGCAGUCAGCACCUCGAAAAUACUCAGACUUCCUCAAACUUACAUCUACCAGAAAUACUGCACAGCAAAUCCCUUUCCAAGCUUUCAUUCCGUUACUCUGUUAAACGUAUCAAUAAACAAUAUUUGUCUGUUCUCUGA
This is a long non-coding RNA of Gallus gallus (chicken), 9856 nucleotides long. RefSeq lists it as uncharacterized. The transcript has 2 exons. NCBI's taxonomy places the organism in Eukaryota, Metazoa, Chordata, Aves, Galliformes, Phasianidae. The record is from RefSeq and is a predicted model, not a curated record.